RNAcentral lists this ribosomal RNA (957 nucleotides) under Amanita rubescens. Its description in RNAcentral is "eukaryotic LSU rRNA". It matches the Rfam family "Eukaryotic large subunit ribosomal RNA", at positions 34 to 978 of the family's 3401-position model. Lineage: Eukaryota; Fungi; Basidiomycota; Agaricomycetes; Agaricales; Amanitaceae. The record is from RNAcentral.
UUAAGCAUAUCAAUAAGCGGAGGAAAAGAAACUAACAAGGAUUCCCUUAGUAACUGCGAGUGAAGAGGGAAAAGCUCAAAUUUAAAAUCUGACAGUGUUUCGCUGUCCGAGUUGUAACCUAGAGAAGUGUAACCUGCGCUGGACCGUGUAUAAGUCUCCUGGAAUGGAGUAUCAUAGAGGGUGAGAAUCCCGUCUUUGACAUGGACCACCAGUGCAUUGUGGUUGUGCUCUCAACGAGUCGAGUUGUUUGGGAAUGCAGCUCUAAAUGGGUGGUAAAUUCCAUCUAAAGCUAAAUAUUGGCGAGAGACCGAUAGCGAACAAGUACCGUGAGGGAAAGAUGAAAAGAACUUUGGAAAGAGAGUUAAACAGUAUGUGAAAUUGUUGAAAGGGAAACGUUUGAAGUCAGUCGCGUUGGUUGGGGAUCAGCCUGACAUUGUUGGGUUUACUUCCUGGUCGACGGGCCAACAUCAGUUUUGACUGCCAGAAAAAGGCCAAAGGAAUGUGGCACCUUUGGGUGUGUUAUAGCCCUUGGUCGUAUAUGGUGGUUGGGACUGAGGAAAGCAGCGUGCCGAAAGGCCGGGUUUCGACCACGUUCACGCUGAGGAUGUUGGCAUAAUGGCUUUAAGCGACCCGUCUUGAAACACGGACCAAGGAGUCUAACAUGCAUGCGAGUGUUUGGGUGGAAAACCCUUACGCGUAAUGAAAGUGAAAGUUGAGAUCCCUGUCGUGGGGAGCAUCGACGCCCGGACCAGAACUUUUGGGACGGAUCUGCGGUAGAGCACGUAUGUUGGGACCCGAAAGAUGGUGAACUAUGCCUGAAUAGGGUGAAGCCAGAGGAAACUCUGGUGGAGGCUCGUAGCGAUUCUGACGUGCAAAUCGAUCGUCAAAUUUGGGUAUAGGGGCGAAAGACUAAUCGAACCAUCUAUUAGCUGGUUCCUGCCGAAGUUUCCCUCAGGA